GAUGAACGCUGGCGGCGUGCUUAACACAUGCGAGUCGAACGAUGAAGCCCAGCUUGCUGGUUGGUUUAGUGGCGAACGGGUGAGUAACACGUGAGUAACCUGCCCUUGACUCUGGGUUACGCGCUGGAAACGGCGCCUAUUACCGGAUACGAGCUUCCACCGCAUGGUGAGUUCCUGGAAAGAAUUGCUGUCAAGGAUGGCUUCGCGGCCUAUCCGGUAGUUGGUGGUGUAACGGUACAACAACUCCACGACGGGUAGCCCGCCCGAGAGGGGGAACGGGCACACUGGUACUGAGAGACGGACCAGACGCCAACGGGAGGCAGCAGGGGGGAGUAUUGCACAAUGGGGGCAAGUGUGAUGCAGCGGCGCCGCGUGAGGGACGAAGGCCUUCGGGUCGUAAACCUCUGUUAGCAGGGAAGAGGCGAAAGUGACGGUACCUGCAGAAAAAGCACCGGCUAACUACGUG
This 466-nucleotide ribosomal RNA is filed under the name uncultured bacterium. RNAcentral's name for it is "partial 16S ribosomal RNA". It matches the Rfam family "Bacterial small subunit ribosomal RNA", at positions 28 to 507 of the family's 1533-position model. The record is from RNAcentral.